AGGCAGGGGCUGGGCUUGCAGC
RNAcentral lists this microRNA (22 nucleotides) under Bos taurus (domestic cattle). RNAcentral's name for it is "Bta-Mir-346_3p* (star (passenger))". Lineage: Eukaryota; Metazoa; Chordata; Mammalia; Artiodactyla; Bovidae. The record is from RNAcentral.